GCCUAAUUUGCCGCACUCUUUUGAAAGAUAGGUAACCAUCGUCUGUAAAGGAUCAAUAUAGUUGGGGUGCAGAUACAGGCCUUCCCCUAGGGAAACACUUGCAUCAGUAUUAGUGAGAGACCAAGUACACAUUCUGAAGCAUUCCUGUGCUUUCUGUCCACUUGUCAGGUGAUGUUUGCCACGUAUGACUGUCCAUCAGCCAGGAGAUGAACCCCCACCCGUGAGGCAGUGACUCAAGGUGCAAGGGAGUCCGGCAAGAAGUGUGGCGCACCCGAGUUGCUGCCACUGCUUUUUGGAUCACCCAGCACGGUCUUCUGAAGUCUUCGUGAAAGCACUCCCUGGUGAUCUGUGAGCCCUUGGUCGUGUUGCCCGCCUUCUCCUGUGGGUCUUGCUGGAUGCUCAUUGUCCCUGUGAGCCGAGGCCCUGGAGGCUUCAGAUUUAGGUGAAGUUGCCACGUAUGACUGUCCAUCAGCCAGGAGAUGAACCCCCACCCGUGAGGCAGUGACUCAAGGUGCAAGGGAGUCCGGCAAGAAGUGUGGCGCACCCGAGUUGCUGCCACUGCUUUUUGGAUCACCCAGCACGUGACGCAUCAACCUUUGAGGACCACCACAGUUGUGAUAGACAUUGCUCAUUGGUUGGCAUACCAAGGCUGCCUCAAUGUAGGAGACAACAGCUCCCAUGGCACUAUGGCAGAGACCUGGCACAUCCACGGUCUUCCCUGGCAGGUCUUCUGAAGUCUUCCUGAAAGCAUCCUGGUGAUCUGUGAGCCCUUGGUCGUGUUGCCCGCCUUCUUCCUGUGGGUCUUGCUGGAUGCUCAUUGUCCCUGUGAGCCGAGGCCCUGGAGGCUUCAGAUUUAGGU
Molecule: long non-coding RNA, 859 nt
Filed under: Bos indicus x Bos taurus (hybrid cattle)
Lineage: Eukaryota; Metazoa; Chordata; Mammalia; Artiodactyla; Bovidae
Description: lncRNA (ENSBIXG00005018322.1)
Source: RNAcentral